This is a long non-coding RNA of Gasterosteus aculeatus aculeatus (three-spined stickleback), 3703 nucleotides long. The record is from Ensembl. Lineage: Eukaryota; Metazoa; Chordata; Actinopteri; Perciformes; Gasterosteidae.
AGAUCGCUGCCUCAUUUCACCUGCACGCGGACUUUUGUGUCGUUCAGGUUGGAGAGUCAACACCGCAAAGUGUUCAACAUUUGUCCUCUUUUUGUCUUAAUUCAUUAUCUCCCCCCCCCCCCCCCCAAGACACAUCCUUUGCUGGUGAAAACAAACGGCACUUUCAAAAAAGGGGAAUGUUUUUCUAAAACCACAAUCACAGGACCGCCAAGUAACAAAUUCUGAAAACACAUACGCUGUACAGAAGAUAUAAAUCUCAUGAGUUUGUACAAGCUUUAGGCUACACGCUGAAAAGGGAGGGAACACGCAAGAACCCUUAAUGCUUAACAUUGAAAACAAAUAUAAGGCAUUUCAUAAUUUCCUUUUAUCCGCAUACAUCACUGACAGCAGGUCUAAAUAUGUUUGAGAAAACAUUUCAUUCAAAAGAGGAAGAGGAUGCAUAUACACAUCUACACAUGCAAAUGAAAAUGUCCGCCGGCUAUAAACCGGAAGCCCAAAACUACAACAGCAUCAAAGUCCAUCAGCGAAAAUAAAAAUAGAAAUUACGCACCUCCUCAAAUCUGUCAGUCAACUUGUGCAGGCAGCUUUUAAAAGUCGGAUAUCACAGUUUUGAGAAUGAAAUACCAAACACUCAAACACUCCCAAAUGCCACCUCUCUGGACACAAACUGAAGGACCACUUGAGAUCCUUCAUGUGCUACAGAUUAGUGACUUCUGGUGUUAACAAAAAGGGCAUAUUUUAAUUUUUUUCUCUUUUUCCCUUCAACUGAGGAAGCGAUAAUAAGCAAAAAGGUUAUUGCACUUUUUAUCUUUUGUCUAUUUCAAAACGAGGUCAGCUUGAGAGAAGAGGAUUCAUGCCUUAAUGUCGUCGGUGAGACCACAAAUGUUACGUCACUUCUACAGUAUGAUCACACAGUUAUUAACACCGCACACAGCUACUAUCGCAAACCCUACUCGUAGUCAGUCUAGCCUAAAUAACACAAAACAAUCUCUACAAUCGAUUUGCAACACAGUCACAACAAACGGUUUGCCUUAACUCGAUCUGCAAUGCACGGACCGCCUCACAACUCCGCAUUGUGAGCUUCCUAAUCGUCGACGAACACCGUGGAGAACAAAUCAGAACGAGGCUCUGAGAUUCCAGACACUGGUCUUUCUACAGUUAAUGUCGUACUGACAAAACUCGUGUUCUCGAGGAGUCCAGUGGGUUUUUUUCCCCUUCGCGGGUUUGCCUAAAAUUUGGUGUAAAGGCGCCUUGAUGUUGGGAGAGCCAGCCGAGCCCCCAGAGGUGCCUUCUUUGGAUUUGUGCUUUCGUACAACCGAUCCCCCAUCCAGUCAAUGCUGGAUGUGCCUGAAAUCGCAACAGUAAUGUGCAUUUUAUUCUGCCCGCCCCCCCCACUCCUCCCCAGACUAAUACAGAAGGCUUUUCUUUUCUUUUUGUUCCUCGGGUCACAUUGGGUUGAAAUAAUCAAGCUCAGAGGGAAAAUGAGCCGUGUCGUGUACUUUCAGUGUAAUUUUUUUUGUUUUAUCCCAUUAUAAGGCUUCUGGGAAAUACAAAUGGAAGACCGUACCUUUCGGUAGUAACGAAUAAAAAGGCACCAUGCCACCACUGUGCUCAAUAUCACACAGGUCCUAUUGGGGGGGUGGGGGGGGAAGAUUAAUAACCAACUGUUCAGGUGGGGAAGGUGGUCAAACUAGCAUUAGUCAAACAGUCAAAUUGUAUCGUUUUGACUUUCAGAGGUAAAGUUUUAUAGCUACUUUCAUUCCCCGCCUUAAAUUAGACUGAAUCCUUUACCCUUUGACUCACGCAAGAUAAUAAGACUCAUCUGUUGGUCGUAAUGAAGAGAAAGAGUUAAAACCGCUUUUCUGUUAAAAAAAAAAAAGGGGGGGGAUGUUCGUAAAUGUUGUGACAUGCAUAUAUUGAAAGGUCUCUCACACACAAACUACAAGAGAGAAAUCGACACCACUGGCAUGAGAAGAAAUCACAGAGGAGAAAUGUCAGCGUCGUCACACAAAAGAUCACUGAUGAGGUAAAACUGCAGGUCCAAUAAAAAGUACAAGGUGCAGUUGGCGGCCUGUUUGUAAGGUAGGAAACAUGAGACAUCUGCCCACACUGAUCCAACGGUUUAAGCAGAAUUACACUACCCACAAACUGAGAGACCACAACAUUUCAACUCUUUGUUAGCAAAGCUGUACAAGCAUUUUUGCAAUAUAAAUUUACUUUCCAUCCAACCUAUUGUUUUUUUGAGGUACACCACUUUUAUCUGCAGGGAAAUUUGGGCUCUGGAUGACACAGAAGCCGAAGUCGAUUGGGGGGUGAAUUCUGAAUUUAUUCAUUCACAGUGGCAAAUAUGGCGAUAUCCUAAGCAACAAAUCUCUGCACCAUGGCAACCUUGAGCGAUGUGCUACCUCAAUAGACGUGUGUGCUUCUAGACACCCAAAAUAAGCCAUGAAUUCUUUGUUUUACAGCAAUCCAAGCAAGCGGUAUAACUCGACAGAUGUUGCAACUUAUCAGGUACUGCCAGGUAUCAUUUCCCUUUUCAGCUUUUAAGGCAAAAGGCUCCAACAGUGGAUCACAGAGUUGAAUGGAAAUUUGCCAUUUACUUCAAGUAAGAACCGAGACAUCCAUUGAGGCAAAUCAAUUCUAUACCAAUAUAUGCUAUGCUUUUUUUUUGGGACAUCAUUUUUUUUUCUCUAGGUAACGAACACACACACACACACACACACACACACACACACACACACACACACACACACACACACACACACACACACACACACACACACACACACACACACACACACACACACACACACACACACACACACACCCACCCCUUGUUUAACGCCCAACCAAGGGAUUGCUUUGCCAAUACCAAAGGGACCAACUUGUAUUCUUCAAAAAUGUCCAAUUAUACAAUAGACUUUAACAAACACCAACGCGUUAACAAAAUACUUGGAUUUAAAUACUAAUAUCCCAUGCACAGAUUUCUUAGACGAAUAUAAUUGGACAUGCAGCUCCAAACACAAAAUGUUAAUAACCCUGCCUACUUCUGAAUUAGUUACUGACCAAGUAAUAAUGAUUUAUGUCUAAAGGCAAAUAAAGGUUUCUAUGGCACUAAAUGGGUGUAGCUUAGGUGCAUUUUUGUCAAAUAUAGGCUAUUAACAAGUAUGUGUGAUCAUAUCUACUGUCGACCUCCCCCCCGUUUUACUGUAAGGCAAUCUCAAUGGAAUGGAUGAACGUGAAUGUUAAAUUCAUCUAAACUCUUGUCUUCAGUUUACCUUGUAGGCUACACUCCACACAAAUAUAUAUAUGUAUGGAGACAGAGAGAUUUUAUACAACAGCAGGCCUAUUCUCCAACAAUGCCACAAAAAGAAAAACUAUCCAGACCAUCAAUGCAGGAAGACGACUCUACAUACUGUAUCAUUUGUAGAGAAUUCAGUUAUUACAUGCUACCUGUAUAGUCAUAUCUACACAAGACAAAUGAAGAGCAACAGUUUAAAGUCGGGAGAAAGCUAAUUAUCCUUCUCUAAACUGACCCGACAUUCAUUUAGUUAGAAAAAGGUAAUGGCUCAGAUUUGAUGGUCAGACUGUAAACUGCUGGAACGUAUGCAUAAACCCAUUGCUGCUUUUCUAAAGAGGUUCUCUCCUCUCGACACAUUUUUGGCAAUUAGGCCUUAUUAGUGAAGAUUAUAACAUCCAACCU